GUGAUCCUUGCUGGGUUGAAGAUUGCUACUCCAUCUGAACUUUGCUUGCGAACAUCAAUCUAUUAGAAGAACGGUCAUUGCCGUUAAGAGCAAAUUGGCGUGAUCGUAGAUUGUUCCAUAUAUAUUAACUGAUUGAGCCGAUAUUGGAGGAAUGAAUUUCUCUUCCCAAAAACCCAGCCUGGUUGAGUCACGGUUCGCCGAAUCCGUCAGGAGUUCUCUUUUAUGCAAGAUUAUCGGGCAAGUUACAAACUCCAGCGUGAACUGAAUGCUUAGCAACGCUAUCAACCGCACACAUGGCGACACGAGGCGUUCGCCGUUUCUUGAAUCCGAAAGCAUUCCUUUGGUUGUUGCAGCCAUCACUGAAUGUCUGGCUAUAGUCAUCCUUAAUGUCAUCAUUACCGUUGUGUUUGUGAAGAAGCGCCAGCUAAACCGCAAAAGUCCAUACUUGAUCAUCCAUCUGGCGACAGUCGAUAUUUUAGUCGGGGCAGUCUCAGGGCCAAUUUAUAUUUACUGGUUAGGGAGUUAUUGUGAUCUAUGGGAAUUUGGGUUGACCAGUGAAGUCUAUCGAGCACUGCGUAUCGCUUUAGAGGAGCGCUUCCCUUUUGCUUCUCUUCUGAAUCUCGCUGCCAUUUCAUUAGAGAGGGUACAUGCGACUUUCUGUCCAUUUAGACAUCGUUUGAUCAAAACAUGGUUUUAUGGAGUUAUAAUAAUUGUAAUUUGGCUGACAAAUACGGCUGCAGCACUGAUAGAAGGAGUCACAGGCAGUCCCAUUGUGUAUUUUCUAUCUUUUCUUUUUCUUCU
Molecule: long non-coding RNA, 801 nt
Organism: Stylophora pistillata
Lineage: Eukaryota; Metazoa; Cnidaria; Anthozoa; Scleractinia; Pocilloporidae
Source: RefSeq, a predicted model, not a curated record